Long non-coding RNA from Sapajus apella (tufted capuchin), 135 nucleotides. RefSeq lists it as uncharacterized. The record is from RefSeq and is a predicted model, not a curated record. Lineage: Eukaryota; Metazoa; Chordata; Mammalia; Primates; Cebidae. The transcript is spliced from 3 exons.
AAAAGAAAUUAUCAACAGAAUAAACAGCCUGCAGAAUGGGAGAAAAUAUUUGCAAACUACGCAUUCAACGAAGGUCUACUAUCCAGAAUCAUAAGGAACUUAAACAAAUUUACAAUCACAAAAUGAACAACCCCA